UACGGAGGGUGCAAGCGUUGCUCGGAAUUAUUGGGCGUAAAGGGCAGGUAGGUUGUCUUAUUUGUCUGAGGUGAAAGCCUUGAGCUUAACUCAAGAAGUGCCUCAGAAACGGUAGGACUAGAGUACUGGAGAGGGUCGUGGAAUUCCCGGUGUAGCGGUGAAAUGCGUAGAGAUCGGGAGGAACACCAGAGGCGAAGGCGGCGACCUGGACAGUAACUGACACUCAACUGCGAAAGCGUGGGGAGCAAACAGG
Molecule: ribosomal RNA, 253 nt
Filed under: uncultured bacterium
Lineage: Bacteria
Description: partial 16S ribosomal RNA
Rfam family: Bacterial small subunit ribosomal RNA
Source: RNAcentral